UCUCUUGGUCAUUUAGAGGAAGUAAAAGUCGUAACAAGGUUUCCGUAGGUGAUCCUGCGGAAGGAUCAUUAUUGAAUAAACUUGGUUGGGUUGUUGCUGGCUUUUCGGAGCAUGUGCACGCCUAGCGCCAUUUUUUACCACCUGUGCACUUCUUGUAGAUUUGAAACACCUCUCGAGGAAACUCGGUUUGAGGAUUGCUAUGCGAAAGCUAAGCUUUCCUUGCGUUUCAAGUCUAUGUUUUUAUAUACCCCAUAAGAAUGUUUUAGAAUGUCAUUAAUGGGCUUCAUUGCCUCUAAAUUAAUACAACUUUCAACAACGGAUCUCUUGGCUCUCGCAUCGAUGAAGAACGCAGCGAAAUGCGAUAAGUAAUGUGAAUUGCAGAAUUCAGUGAAUCAUCGAAUCUUUGAACGCACCUUGCGCUCCUUGGUAUUCCGAGGAGCAUGCCUGUUUGAGUGUCAUUAAAUUCUCAACCCUUUCAGCUUUUGCGAGCUGGAUUGGCUUGGAUAUGGGGGUUUGCGGGCUUCUCAGAAGUCGGCUCCUCUUAAAUGCAUUAGCGGAACCUUUGUGGACCAGCUUUGGUGUGAUAAUUAUCUACGCCAUGGUUGUGAAGCAGCUUUACAUGGGGUUCAGCUUCUAACCGUCCAUUGACUUGGACAAUUUCUGACAUUUUGACCUCAAAUCAGGUAGGACUACCCGCUGAACUUAAGCAUAUCAAUAAGCGGAGGAAACA
RNAcentral lists this ribosomal RNA (730 nucleotides) under Clitocybe sp. KH. RNAcentral's name for it is "eukaryotic LSU rRNA". The stretch from base 305 to 458 matches the Rfam family "5.8S ribosomal RNA". The record is from RNAcentral. Lineage: Eukaryota; Fungi; Basidiomycota; Agaricomycetes; Agaricales; Clitocybaceae.